RNAcentral lists this small RNA (318 nucleotides) under uncultured bacterium. RNAcentral describes it as "bacterial SSU rRNA". It matches the Rfam family "Bacterial small subunit ribosomal RNA", at positions 71 to 382 of the family's 1533-position model. The record is from RNAcentral.
AGCACGGGUAGCAAUACCUGUGUGAGAGUGGCGAACGGGUGAGUAACACGUAGGUGAUCUACCUCUGGGUGGGGGAUAGCCCGUGGAAACACGGGGUAAUACCGCAUGAGGCCUUGUGGGUAAAGCCAUGAGGUGAAAGGUGCAAUUGCACCGUCUGGGGAUGAGCCUGCGGUCCAUUAGGUAGUUGGCGGGGUAACGGCCCACCAAGGCUGGGACGGGUAGCUGGUCUGAGAGGAUGAUCAGCCACACUGGAACUGUUUCACGGUCCANAGACAUACGGGAGGCAGCUUUGGGAUCUUGCAGAAAACUCGAGCCAUC